RNAcentral lists this ribosomal RNA (468 nucleotides) under uncultured bacterium. RNAcentral describes it as "partial 16S ribosomal RNA". It matches the Rfam family "Bacterial small subunit ribosomal RNA", at positions 28 to 507 of the family's 1533-position model. The record is from RNAcentral.
GACGAACGCUGGCGGCGUGCUUAACACAUGCCAGUCGAACGGAAAGGCCCUGCUUUUGUGGGGUGCUCGAGUGGCGAACGGGUGAGUAACACGUGAGUAACCUGCCCUUGACUUUGGGAUAACUUCAGGAAACUGGGGCUAAUACCGGAUAAGAGCUCCUGCUGCAUGGUGGGGGUUGGAAAGUUUCGGCGGUUGGGGAUGGACUCGCGGCUUAUCAGCUUGUUGGUGGGGUAGUGGCUUACCAAGGCUUUGACGGGUAGCCGGCCUGAGAGGGUGACCGGCCACAUUGGGACUGAGAUACGGCCCAGACUCCUACGGGAGGCAGCAGUGGGGAAUAUUGCACAAUGGGCGGAAGCCUGAUGCAGCAACGCCGCGUGCGGGAUGACGGCCUUCGGGUUGUAAACCGCUUUCGCCUGUGACGAAGCGUGAGUGACGGUAAUGGGUAAAGAAGCACCGGCUAACUACGUG